ACUUUAUGGUUUGGGCAUUACAUGAUUUUGUCAUUGAAUAUUUGCCAUACUUCAUAUAAGGGCUCACCACUAAAUUAACAAAAAAUUGUAAUUUCAUCCCUUAGUUU
This is a non-coding RNA of Capsicum annuum, 107 nucleotides long. The record is from Rfam. Lineage: Eukaryota; Viridiplantae; Streptophyta; Magnoliopsida; Solanales; Solanaceae.